GUGGUAAAGCUGAGAUCAACUCAACUGGGUCGGACAUUGAUCCGCCUUCAUCUGAGAGGCCCGCUUCUGAUGCUCGAACGUCUUUCCAAAUGCCGAAGGUCCGUGGCGUGCGACCUCUGACAUUGGUUGGCAGAUCCAUAACACCCAUGGCCUCAAUGGUAGACCUUGUGAUCGGGUGGCAAAGGGGAUCGCUCAAAUUGGGGAGGGUGCUGCGGCCUAUGCCAAACACAUUGAUCAUGUGCUUGAGGGUGGGCGACCAUGGAAGGCUUUGGAACAACUGCCAACCCGUCAAAAGACAUGAUAAGCAAGCAGCCUCGAGGUAAAGUAGACACGGGAGAGCAAGAGUCUUGGCUGUUACUUCAACUCACAUUGAGUGUACAGAUCAAAAGACCUGAAGCGAGAAUGCCAGGAUCCAAUGAGCCAUCGUAGUGAUCCAGUUGUCGUCGGAACAAAUGCAUGCUUUGCGAGCUGUAGUGUUGAAAGCGCGGGCCUGGUGUCCCAGAGCUCGAGAAGUACAGCUGCAUUGCGGCGAUGAUGGCACGUAGGGUCUCUGUGGUCUGGGCAAGGGCUCUCAGUUGCAGGGGAAACGGAGAGUCACGAGUCGUUGCGUACAGGCUGUAGACAGUAUCUCCCAUGACUAGGUGGCUCAGUCCUAUCAGUAUCGGAUCAGAGAGGCGUGGGCAUAUUACUGAAAGCAACUUGGACUCGACCAGCNNNNGCUUGAUUUCAUGGGUGGCUCACAUUCUUUCAGCAAGCUGGACGUUUCGGCUUCAGGACCGGGUUCUUGUCGCCGUGGAUUAGUGUGCAGACCAUCGUGCAGAUCUGAGAUGACAGGCAUGGCCAAGCCGC
Molecule: ribosomal RNA, 849 nt
Filed under: uncultured bacterium
Lineage: Bacteria
Description: partial 16S ribosomal RNA
Source: RNAcentral